Molecule: transfer RNA, 86 nt
Filed under: Candidatus Peregrinibacteria bacterium
Lineage: Bacteria; Candidatus Peregrinibacteriota
Description: tRNA-Tyr
Rfam family: tRNA
About the family: Transfer RNA (tRNA) molecules are approximately 80 nucleotides in length. Their secondary structure includes four short double-helical elements and three loops (D, anti-codon, and T loops).
Source: RNAcentral
GGGUCGGUACUCAAGCGGUCAACGAGGAUGGACUGUAAAUCCAUUGGCUUACGCCUACGAAGGUUCGAAUCCUUCCCGGCCCACCA